GCAUAGGGUUUCGGCCCUGAUGGCGACCGGCGCACGGGUGAGUAACGCGUACACAAUCUACCCUUAAGAGGGGGAUAGCCUUGGGAAACUAAGAUUAAUACCCCAUGUGAUUAGAUUUUAGCAUUGUGAUCUAAUUAAAACUACGGUGCUUAAGGAUGAGUGUGCGUCCCAUUAGCUUGUUGGUAAGGUAACGGCUUACCAAGGCUACGAUGGGUAGGGGGCGUGAGAGCGUGACCCCCCACACGGGUACUGAGACACGGACCCGACUCCUACGGGAGGCAGCAGUAAGGAAUAUUGGACAAUGGGCGAAAGCCUGAUCCAGCCAUCCCGCGUGAAGGAUUAAGGCCCUACGGGUUGUAAACUUCUUUUGUAUGAGACGAAUAGUUGAGAUUUAUCUUGAUGUGACGGUACCAUACGAAUAAGCACCGGCUAACUCCGUGCCAGCAGCCGCGGUAAUACGGAGGGUGCAAGCGUUAUCCGGAAUUACUGGGUUUAAAGGGUGCGUAGGCGGCCAUAUAAGUCAGUGGUGAAAUGUCUCCGCUUAACGGAGGACUCGCCUUUGAUACUGUAUGGCUUGAAUUAGGUUGAGGUUAGCGGAAUGUGGCAUGUAGCAG
This 614-nucleotide ribosomal RNA is filed under the name uncultured bacterium. RNAcentral's name for it is "bacterial SSU rRNA". It matches the Rfam family "Bacterial small subunit ribosomal RNA", at positions 69 to 681 of the family's 1533-position model. The record is from RNAcentral.